This 11883-nucleotide long non-coding RNA is filed under the name Capsicum annuum. RNAcentral's name for it is "long non-coding RNA (CANN_LNC013044)". The record is from RNAcentral. Lineage: Eukaryota; Viridiplantae; Streptophyta; Magnoliopsida; Solanales; Solanaceae.
CCUUUUUCGAAAAUAUUUUAAUCAUUUUUAUUUUUUUUAUUUUUUUAUUUUAUUCACCUUACCAUACUUUUGUUUAACUGAUAAUUUCUCCCAAAAAAAAAAGAAUUGAAAAUAAUUAAAUACAUAGCAUCUUUGCCACCUCACUAUGCCACCUCAACACCUCACUUUUCAUUUUUCAUUGGAUACAUGCAAAAGGCGCACGUCCUACUCAUUUUUCCACACGCCACCCUCAUCUUUCCACAUGUCACACUAACUUUUUCACAUGCCACACACUUAUUCCCACAAGCCACCAAUUAUAUGCUUUCACAUAGGAUAAUAAAUAAAGAAAAAGAAAAAUUAAAUAAAAAAUAUAAAAGGAAAAUUUUAAAAAGGGAAAAGGGGGUCCACAUAGACAAUCAUCCUCCUCACCAUCUGCUUUCAUUUUUUUUUUUGAGAUACACACACCUACACGAUUUUGGGGAGGGCAGGGACGAAGGGAUUCCAUUUUUCUUUCUUUCCUUUUCUUCUUCUUGGGACACACUGGAAUUCAUCACAGGGAGAAGAUAAUUCUCCAUUAUCAUCAUCUGCACACACCCACUAAUUCAGCAACGAUAUUCAAACACACACGCGAGAGAGAGAUAUAGAUGAGAGAUAUAGAGAUCUAGAAACAUAGAUCGGGAGAGAGAAAACAAAGGGUGAAGAGCUGAAAUCGAUCGAGGUCACCACUGGGGGGAUUCCGGCGGUCACUGUAGCAGCCAAAUUCAUCGAAAAAAAGUCACGCCAACUACGUUACGGCCAAAGUCCACGUCGACCAGCCAUCUUCUUUUACUCCAACGAGAUUUGUUUAAAUCCGGCGGGAUCUCAGACACAAUAUGGUUUGGAGUUUUGUUGGUCGAGGUUUGAAUUGAGGCUUUUCGGGCACGGUGUUAUCUCCGAUAUAUUAAAAUCUGACAUUUGAGGUUCAAUUCUUUAACCCCUUCUCUUCGUUUUACUUAAUUUGAUGUGUUGAUAUUGUGAGUUGCGUGGUUCGUGUUGACUGAUGAUAAUUAUUUAUAGUAUGUUUGAGUGUCUAUGAUUGUGGUGGUUGUGAUUUGUUGAUUCUUCAUCGAAAUUGGUUAAUCAUGUGGUUAAAAAUAAAUUUAGGGGCUGAGAGUUGAAAAAUUGAUAAAUGAGGGAAUAUAGUCCAGCUUUGGUUUAUCGUUUUUUAAUUUGGAAUGAGCAUGAAUGUGAUAGAUUUAUGAUAUGUUAAAAUGGAUAGGCAAUACAGGUUCGAGUAGGCAAAAUUUAGGCGUGAUGUGUUGAUUGAAUGCUUCGAAUGUCUAAAUGUGUGUUUCGAACAUUUUUCUAGUUAUCUUAUUUAAUUCAGAUGUAUUUAUUUGGCCGGGGAAUGCCCCGAGGUAUUUGUGUUCAUUUACCGGGGAAUGUCCUAAAGUAUUUUGUACCCAGAGGACAUUCGUGACCAAGGCCCGAGGCUUCGGGUGGAGUUUAGUUCAGGAGUAGUUUAGGGAUAGUUUAGAAUAGAAUAGGUUUACAUUUUCGCAUUUUUCAUUAUUUGAGACUGUAUAAUUGGACUGUACACUAUAUUUUUGACUUGUUUUGUUUUGUUUGUUUGAUUGAUUGUUUUACGUGUUUUUGUGUGGUUUGUGCAUUCGUAGUAUCAAAUUAGCUGAUAGGCUCUAUCAAGCGACCGUGGUCAAACCACGAGAUCGAGGGGUGCCUAACACCUUCCCCUCGGUCAACAGAAUUCCUUAGUCGGAAUCUCUUUUCGCAAUCUAGUCUUAAAGAGUCAAAUUGUUUUGAAAAGGAUUUUUCAAAGAUGAAUUGGCACACCAAAUUAUGCCAAGCGGUGACUCUGCAAAAAAAAUAUAAAUAAUCCUUUUUCCAAAUAAAUUUUUAUUUUAUCACUUUAAUAAUAAAAACUCUUUCGAACUUAAAAUAAAAUCUUUCUUUUUUGGUUAAAAAUCGAUGUGACAUGUACUAUGACCCUGAACAUCAGAAUGAUAUACACAUCGUAUAUUAGGGUCAAAGUUUCUUGAUUGUGGGUCAGGGUAUACCCAAGAAGAGGAGUGAUCAUGUCCUUUUGUCUCAGUUUCUAGAAUAAACUGGUAUAUGAUUCUCCAAUUGGUGUGAAACUAUCCCUUAGCUUCUGCCUCUUUUCAUUGUUUGGCUUAGAGCGAACAUCGAGUUUGGAGUGGCUUGGGUAUGUUUGGGGAAUUGGAGAAUGAUUUUGAGGGGUUGGUGCACGCCAUUACUGGUAAGAAGGAGUCUGAACAUAUGGUUGUGCAUUAUAGAUAGAAUACUGAGGAGAUGGAAUGGAAUAUAAUGGAUUUUGUGGUGGAACAUAGUAUCGUGGAUGGUUAUAUGGGUCUUGGGCAUAAAUUUGGGACUGAGAUUGUGCGUAAGGGUGACGCACACCUCUCCAAUUUUGUCGUGGACCUGGUAUAAUAGUUGCUACAUCCUCUUUUCUUUUGUUUCCACCAAAGCUUCCUAAACCACUUUGAAUUGCUUGUGUUAUUGCUUUUAAAGCGUCUUGGUUGAUAAUCUUUUCGGACUUAAUUCCACUCUCUACCAUCUCUCUAAUUUUAAUGACCUCGGGAAAUGUGUUUCCAAUAGUAGAAAGCAAAUGAUUAAAAUAAUCAGGUUCUUGUGCCUGCAGAAAGAUAUCAAUCAUUUCAGACUCUUUUAUUGAUGGUCUGACUCUUGCAGCGUGUUCUCUCCAUCUAAUAGCAUAUUCUCGAAAACUAUCAGUUGUCUUUUUUCUCAUAUUAGUCAGUGUGGUGCGAUCUGGGACUAUCUCGAUGUUAUAUUGAAAAUGUUGAACAAAAUCCUGAGCCAUGUCAUCCCACACGUACCAACGGGAAAUGACUUGGUCAAUAAACCAUUCAGAAGCUACCCCUUCCAAGCUUUCUCCAAAGUUAGCCAGGAGCAAUUCUUCUUUUCCUCCUGCUCCCCUUAAUUGAUUGCAAAACUUUUUCAAGUGAGCUACAGGAUCGCCAUGACCUUCGUAUUUGUCAAACUUUAGAAUUUUGAACCCCAACGGAAAAUGGACAUCAAGAAACAUACACAAAUCCUUGUAUGAAACACUCUUUGGUCCUCUCAAUCCUUGCAUAUUUCUCAUACUCUGCUCCAAGCUUCUUACUUUCCUAGCCAUCUCAUCUUGUUCCUCAUUCUUAACAAUCUUUUCAAUCACGAUAGGAGAAUUGUGUUGAUGAGCAUGAUAAUGUGGAUUUUGAGGUUUGAAAGUCAUUUCAGGAGAAUACAACAGAUCAUGACUUGGUUCCCUAUAUUCUUCGGUGCUGCCGAUUGAAGACCCGCAGUAGCUGGUGCUACAGAAGUGAAAAAUGGGUUAUUUGUGACAGGCGGAUUUGGUGGGCUCAUGGUAGAAGUACCUAUAGCGCUAGACACAAUAGCAAAUGGGAACGCGAGUAAAAUAGAUAGCUAGUUUGAGCUUGAGCAGGAUUUGGAUCAUUCAUAUUCGUAAGUCCAGGGAUUGAGGAAGGCGGGGCUUGUCCAUUUAACCAAGCUUGGUACAGUUCCGCCAUCUGUUGUUUCAAUAACUUAACCUCUUCCAUUGAUGCUACUUCUGGCGAAACCAACUGAUUUUGCUCCUCCUCACUGUCAGACCCUACACCCUCUUUGCCGGUCAUUUUUCUUUUUCCCUUGUAUCUGGUGUUGUACGGAUGUGAUGCCAGUUUAAACAACAAACCAACCACCAACUACUUUAUCUUUCUGUUACCAAGUAACAAACGGGUGAUUGUUAUAUAUUUAACACAUUAUAAUGUCACGUUGUAUAUUAAGCUUCUAGAUGCAUUUUCUAACCUAUUAAGGAAGACUUUAUGUUUCAUCCCGAUUUUCUAGGCGCACUUUUUUGAAAAAUUUUGAUUGAAUCCUUUAGAGGGUUGCCUACGUAUCAUGCCAAGACAUGAAUCAGAUCUUGCGUAGUUCAAAAAAAUUAAAGAUACGAAGAAAUAUACCUUUUUUAUUAUUAUUAUUAUUAUUAUUUGAAAUAUGAGAAACAAAUUUUUUAUUUUUGAAUAACAUCUUUUAUUUUUGAAAAUAAUUUUUUUUCCUUCAUUUUUUUUAUAAGGAAAGACAUCCAAUUUUUUAAGAUCACCGAAUUCAUUGAGGACUGCCUACGUAUCUCAUUAAAAUGAGAAUCAGGUGUGCGUAGUUCUUGAAAAUUAUGUCGUACAAAACUCAGCCUCAAGACCCCUAAAGGUUCAGGGUUGUUAAGAUUUAUUUAUAUUUUUUAUUUUGUAAAAACUUAACCUCAUGAUCCUUGAAGAUUCAGGGCUAUUAAGAUAAAAAAAAAUAUAUUUAGACUUGAAGAGUAGGAAAACAAUUAUAAGAGUAAUCAUAUUUUCAAAAUAUUCCCUAACAAAUCUACGAAUAAUUUUUCAAAAGAUAGGGCUGUAUCCUGGGAAGGACUUUCUACGUCUCACAAAGAUGUGAGAAUCAGACCCUCGUAGUUCAUGAAGAUCGUAAAACUAUGUUACUAAAAAUUUUCUCUCUUAAAAAUAAAUUUAUUUUUUAUUUUUUUAAAAUGAUUCACUAAAUGUGAGGAUAAUUUAAUCUCUUGCAUUUUAAAGUUGCCUAAAAUCGGUCGACAAACAAAUAGCCUUCCAAAUAAAUGUCAAAGAGCACGUAGGAUGUACAUGUUGAUCUUUAUAAAGUAGGUCACCUGUUCUAGACAGACCCGACCCCUGUGCCGAGUCCCGCUAAUUCAAAUGCAUAUGAUGCAAAUGAAGCGGUACCUAAUAGGGAUAACCAGAUUCUGAGUUUUCAGUUCUUUUAGGUUUAAGCCUAAUAGGGAUAGGGGUCUAGACUGGCUUACCCGAGCGGACACUCGAGCCGGGGAGGACAACUUGGUCGGUAGCAAGGCAACACCGCCUUCGUUGUCGAUCCAAACCCCACCUAACAUGUGUGACUAUAAUCCUUCACCAGGUGCCUUGACACUCCGGCUAUCUCAAAAGAAAGUUAGAAUGCAUACGUUGCAUUCCUUCUAUCCUAUUUCAAAGACUCAGAAGGGGUGCGCAAGAGAAGACAGUGUAUAAAUACAGUUCAACAAUAUCAAAGUAGUAAAUGGUCAACAAGUAGAACAUAAGGCCAAUAAACACAAUAUCAAUAAUAAUUAAAGCAAGUAUAAGUCAACAUCAAAAAGCUCGAAUUCUAGCGUUUCUCCAGCAAAGUCGCUAGAGACAUCACACCCCUUUUUCUUUGAGGAAUUGAGGUCGAAGAGUUUUUUCAAUUAAAGUGACAGUUUUGAAUAGGGAUUAAUUUAUUACAGAGUCGCCACUUGGAAUUGAGUUAUGGUGUUCCAAGUCACCUUUUUGAAUCGAAAACAGAAGUCUGGGUAAGGAAAUUCUAUUGACCGAGGGAAAGGUGUGAGGCACCCCUCGAAUCCCGUGGUUCUAGCACAGUCGCUUUUAUUGACUUAUCUUGACUUAAAAUAUUUUGAAUAAAUUGUGUUACGGCCUAAAUUCGUUCAAUUUUAUUAUACCGAAAAUAGAUAUCUACGUCUCUUAUAUUAAAUAAAUUGAUAAAAAAUAAUUUUAAAAGCUAUAUGUCAAGGCGCGUUAUUGCAUCCUUAAAUUUUUAAAUGUUUUGAAAAGAUGCGUACGCUGCAUUCUUAAUUGAGACGAAUAUUUAAACGGGUUUAAAAAAAAUAGCAUUAUAGGCUUUAAUACUUGAAAUGUCAUCUAACUUUAACUAUAAACUUGAAUAAAAUUCAUUUAAGGUGAUUAACUAAUUUAACAAAAUAAUUAUUAAGAUUUAUUAAUAACGAUGAAUGAAAAUAAAAAUAAAAAAAAUAAAAUAAAAGAUAAUAAAAUAUAUAUAAAGAUACCCAUGUCCAUUUCAAACAAAAAAAAAAGUUUCUUUUAAAUAUUUUUGCUAUUUAUAAAUCAAAAGAACCAUAUCAAUAUUAAGUCAUGCUUACAUUUUCCAUAAAUUGAUAAUUGAUCUUCCAGUUAAAAGAAAAACCCCCAAAAAUACUCCUUCUAAUACAUAUUAAAUAUUUACCAAGAAAACCUUUAAACAAUGCUCACAGGAUGAAUUCUUUAAUUCUGGAAGACAACGUAUUUAUGGCAUCACGGCGGCAGUAACGAGUUUGCCGAAUUCGAAGCCACGACGGGGAGGGGAAAGGGUGUCGAUCGACGGGGAAAAGGAAGAUGGGGACAGCGGCGUGGCGGUGGAUGGUGGAGGCCCGACUGGCGCCCUCCAUGGUGACUGAUCCGGCGAGUUUAACCGGUUUUUCGGCGGAUCUGACUUUUGGGAGGGGGAGGGGAAAAAUAGCAGUUGUUGUUAUCCACUGAUUUCCGGUGAGAUUCAGCCGACGAUGGGACGCUGGGAAGAGGGAGAGAGGGAAAAAAAAUGGCACUACUGGUUUGGAUUUUUCGGUGACAAUUCGUCUUAACCGUGACGAACUAGUGAAUAGAAGUGUUUUCCGGCAUCAAAUCCGAUGAGGAUUUUCACUAGAAACAUCUUCUCACUGUCAUCUCCUUCGAUCUCUCUCUUUCUUUUGCUCGCUAAUUCAUCUGAUUUUAUUGAUUUUUCUCUCCGUGUAUCCGAAUUUCCUCACAAUUUUCGAUACGCUAUGUGUAUUGUUGUAUUUCUACUUCUUCAAUGAAUACAAAUGUUGGUGUAUGCAAUCUGUAGUGUAUGUAAAUUGAAAGACAGUGUGUAGGCACGUAUACAUCAAACAGCCUGUCAAUUUUCGUUUCAUCCAUUUCUCUUUUUCGUUUCAAAUUUUAACUUUAACAAAAUUAACAUAACACAGUUUUUUUUUUACACUCAAAAUAUAAAUAAAUAUAUUAUAACUUAAUCAAAUAGUAUGCAAUAAUAAAAAUCCACAUAAUCAAUUAACUAUUCUUACUAAAUAUUGCAUAAAGCAACUAUCAUUUUAAUUCAUGCAUUUAUAAAUAAACUCAUAAUAUGAGUGAUACAGGAUAAUAAUAAUAAAAAAAAAUUGGUACUGAUUCAAACGGAAUAAUGAAACAAGCAAUAAUCAUCACCGAAAUCUUGAACACAAACCCGACUUCAACUUCACCCUUUUCCUCUCUGAUUUCUUAAAGCAAAAAAAAAAAAAAAAAUUUACUGUCUUUUUCUUUACUCUUAUUUUUAGUAUCUGACUUCCUAGAAUCUUCCGUCUCUCAGAAUGGAAAAAGUUUUCUUACAUAUAGAAAAAAAAUAGGAGGAAACAAUUAUUAUUAGGCUGAUAGAGAUAGGAUUUAAAAUUUAAACUAAUUAAUUAAUAAUUUUUUAUUUUGAAAAUAGAAGAUAAUAAUAAUAAUAAUAAUAAUAAAUAAAUAAAUAAAGAUAACAAAUAAUAAUAAUAAUAAUAAUAAAUAUAAAUAUAAUUAAUUUUUAUAUUUAACACAACAUAAUAAAAAAUUAUAAAUAGCCAAAAUAAGUAUAAUAAGAUAAUAUUUAAACUACUAAUUUAUUUAUUAAAAUUUAGAAAACAAAAAUAUAUAUAUUUUUUUAAUUUUUGUAUUAUUAUUUAAAAAAAAUAGAAUAAAAUAGAAUAAAAUAUAUCAAAAUUAACUUUAUUUAAUUAUUGAUUUUUUUAACUAAAAAUUUAUUUAAAUUAAAAUAAAAUAAGAAAUAAAAUAAUAUUAUACCAAAUAUAAAUAUUUAAUAUAAAAAAUAAGUUAAAAUUCGAGGAGGAUUAAAAAUCGUGUGUCUACAGACAUGGACAUCAAAGAUAUGGCAAAAGAACAUGUAGUACCUUACCUCCAUGCUAAAUCAUUAAUGAAGUUUCAGACAAUGUCCAACGAAUGAAUCAUUGAAUAGUUAGUCCAUUAUUAGCAUACCAGCAAAAUACGUCAUUCCAGAAACUUUCAAGGUACUUUUAUUAAAGAGGGAAUGUGGAUUUUUAAUUUGAUCCUAAUUUUUUAUAUCAUGAAUUCAAGACAACUAAAUCCUCAAAGAAAAUUCAUACCCUGCAUAAACAGCCUUGUUAUGUUACAUGAGCUGAAGGAAUAGUAUGAUUAAUGAUACUGUCGAUUGAUGUCAAGUAAAAAUACUUUUUGGUGUUCUCUAUUAAAAUAUAUGUUCUUUCCUUAAUUUUGUUGUUGUUGCUUUAUUUAAUGUGGAAUUGAACAUCUUUCCUGUUCUUUUAUUGGUUAGACUUGGAUGACAGAAUAAAGAGUCUUUAGAAUUAUAACUCUUGAAGAAAUAAUUAAGGCAUUCAUGAAGUAGGUUUCUUCAUAAAAUACUUUUUUGUUCUCUUCCUUUGUUUUAAAUCAACACUAAGUUAUUCAAAGUAUUUACUCUGUCAUCCAAAUCAAGCAACCAAAAAUUCAUGAAAGAUAUGAAAUUCUCAUUAAAAAAAAAGUAAAAACAACAAAACUAAGAAGAGAGUAUACACUUCAACAAAAUUGAAAAACACGAGAAAGAUUUGCGAGUUGACAACUACCAAAAAUAACAUCAAUGACACUAAUUCUUCGGGUCAUGCAACAUAACAAGACUAUUUAUGUAGGUAUAAACCUUCUCUGAAAAUUUAGUUGUUCAGGGCUCAUGAAACAAAAUUUUAGAAUUAAAUUGAAAAUUCACAUUUUCUCUUUGAUAAAAAUAACUUUAAAGUUUUUUGAACGAAGUACUUUGCUAUUAUGAUAAUAAAGGAGUAACUAUUCAGUAGAUUUAUUCUUUGGAGACUGCAUGAAACUUUAUUAAUGACUUAGUGAGCAAAAAAGACACUAUAUAUUUCUUGGCCAUAUAUUUGAUAUUCAUGUCCUAUAUAAUCACCAGAUAUUUCAAAUUCUCCAUUUCAUUACAGUUACUAUAUUAUUAGAGGCCGCUUAUUAGGCUUCUUAUGUUAACUCUUGAACUACUUCCUGAUACAUCUAUAAUAAUGGGUAAAUCAUUUUCAUUUAUUUAAUUACCACAUAAUAAUUAUAUCACUAAGUAUAUUUUUUAAUACAAUGCUGCAUUAAUUAACAAGAACUCAAAUCAUAAUAUGUAAUUAAAAAUUUUAGUAUACUUACCUCAUUGUCACCGAUACUAGUCAGCUCAUGAGUUUUUGAUGAAUCACCUUCAACAAAUUUUUUAGCUAAAUCUAACAAUCAUCAAAUGAAUACUACUUUCCUCUUUCAAAUUAUUUUGCUUGACUCAAAAAUUAAUUAAUGUUGAUGUAAAAUUUGAUUAUAGAAUCUCUAAUUGUUUAUCUUAAAUUUAAUAUCUAAAAAUUCGUUCAAAUUCAAAAGGUAAAAAUAUAUAUAUUAUUUCUAGGAUCUAAAAAUCGAAUAAAAAGAUUAAGUGAAAAUUACUCUUUUAUAUUUUUAAGAUUUACUUUUUACCUAGCGAUCAUCAAACAACAAAUCAUUCAAUCAAGAAAUUUGAAACUCUUAGAACCAUAAUCUCACAUGAUUGAUCAAAUCCCAUGAGACAUAUGAUUUAUAAGAAAUUAAAGAAAAGACUUUAACUAGUUGGCAAGAUGUAAAUAAAUAAACAAAUUCAAAUACAAUACUACAAAAUGAAAUCACAACAUUAAUUCCACAAUUUAUAAGAAAAUCUAUAUAUAAAAAUGAAUCUUACAUUUUUAAUUUUCUAUUUUUGUUUUUGUUCGAAACCUAUAUUGAUUUAAGGACAAGAUUAAAAAUUUUACCUUGAAUAAUGAUGCUGGCACCCACAGAGAAAUUCAUUUUCAAAUGAAUUUUGUUACCUACUAAAGAAUUACAAAGAUUUAAUCAAACUCAAUGACAUUGAGCGAUGAGAAUAAUAUAAACAAAUACACACACAACAUACACAAACAUAUAAUUCAUUAAAAAUAAAGGAAUAUAUAUAUAAAUUUAAAUGCCGCAUACCUUUUACAGAAGAAGAGAAGAAUGAAAAUGAAUUACAUCUUCAUAGGUUUUAUAGAGGAAACUGUAUGUCUAGAAAAUAUUACAAUAAUUUCUAUUUAAUUCACUUGUGAUUUUAAAGGCAUAGUCAUUAAUUUUAGUUUGACUCACUUUUAAUUCUAACUGAUACUAAUAAACUAUAAUAAAGGCAUAGUCAUUAAUUUUUAUUUGACUCACUUAUAAUUCUACUGAUUGAUACUCCUUUACUAAAUACUUGUCACUAUUUUGGUUUGCAUUUUCUUAAGAAAAAAAAUAAUUACAUGCUAAAUUGAUUAAAUUGCCCUUAUUAUUAAAUUUUUCUAUUUGAUACUUCUCUUUUUUGCACUAUAUUAAACAUCUCUUCAUAUUUAUGACUAAUGAUAAAUGUGCAAAAAAUAAAUAAUUAUGUCUUAAUUUUUUAAAAUGACAAGUAUUAUGAAAUAUCUAUUUUUAAUAAGAACGAUAAAUAUUUAGGAAUAAGAGGUAAUAAUGUACACUAAAGUCAUAAUGAUUAAUAAAUAUGUUAAAUUUGAAAAACAUAAGAGAAUCGCGUAUGAACAACCAAAAGCCUUGUAUUACUGAUAUCGUAAAUUAAUUAUAAUCAUACUUGAUAUGACUAAAUACUUAGAUAUUAUAGAGUGAAAUUGCUAAGACAACACUUGAUUAAUAGAGCAUUCUAUUUGGAUAUCUAUGAUGUAAGAAAUAUAUGUACUUAUUAUAAUUUUAAGUUAGACAGAAAAAUUAAAACUUGACCAAGUUUCUUCAUAAAUAUUUAAAAUUUAUAUUUAAUUAAUGGUGUCACAAUUUAUGAAAAAAUUUAAACUAUAUUUUGUUUUAAAAUGUCAAAUAUUACUUAAAACUUAAUGUAAGGAAUAUAUGAAAUUAAAAAAGGGGAAAAGACAAAAAUAACACCUAAAACUAAAAUAAUUCUACAAAACUAGCUCCUAAAUUCUAAACCUCAAUAAACAACCACUCGGGAAACUAAUUCCAACCGAAUGGAUAUUGUUUUGGUACUUCACAAUAUAUGUUGUGUAUUUAUUUUUUAAGGAUUCCAUGUUGAAUUUUAUUUUCUUUUGUUGUUUUAUCAAGGGAGAAUUCCACUUUUCUUUUGUUUUUAUACGAGCACUUGUAUUAAUAUUUUUUUCUCCUUUUCUUUUUUAAAGAUUCUACUCAUUUUUAUUCUUUUUUAAAUAAUUGAGUAAUUGCUUUUUUCUCCACAUUAUUUUGCAUUCACCAACAUUAUUAAAAUAACAUACUAUUUGCUUUGUUUAGUUUUAUUCAUUUAUACGAUAAAAUACAAUACCAUAUACUUUUAAUAUAAUAAAAUUGUUAAAAGUAUAUAUUUAUAAUAAUGAUACAGUUUCUAUAUUUACACAUAUUCUAUAAAUAAUUAUAGCAUUUUUAUACACAUUCUAUAUAAUUUUUAAUUACAAUUAUUAUUUAGAUACAUAUUUUAUACGACUAUAUAUAAUUUCUACAUGCAUUCUAAAAAUGUAUCAAUCUAGUAUAAGAGAGUAUCAAUUGAAUAUAUGGACACUGCAAGUGUAUCAAUGUAGUAUAAAAGUGUAUUAAGAUGGUAUAAAAGAGUACCAAUUGGGUAUAAGGACUGCAUGUGCUUGCAUAGAAUUUCCUUUCUCUUUUUUAAAAAGUGUAUCAAUAUAGUAUAAAAGUGUAUCAAUAGAGUAUAGAGACUGGAUGUGCCCAAUUGGUCCAAAUGGCUAAAGAAAAGAAUUAAAAAUAGCCGACUGGCUACAAUUGUCCACCUUUUCAAAUUGUGGACAUUUUUUUUAAAAAAUGGCAAACCCAUGUCCUUUUUUCAUUAAAAAAUGUGGUCUGGGAGGGGUCAUUCGCAACUUUUCAGGUGAUUGAAUCGCGGGUUUUUCUGCCACGGACAAUAGCCAUUGCCAUACACUGGCUGAACUUGAAGCCUUAAAAAUUGAUCUUGACUUAGCCAUCGCACACAAUCUUUUACCUAUUAUUAUUGAAACUGACUCGGUGGAGGUAAUCCAACUGUUAUAGCAUCCUACCAUGCCGUUUACUGAUAUUUUAUCUCAAUGCAGGUCAAUAUUUAAAAGCAUGGGGA